Molecule: ribosomal RNA, 388 nt
Filed under: uncultured bacterium
Lineage: Bacteria
Description: bacterial SSU rRNA
Rfam family: Bacterial small subunit ribosomal RNA
Source: RNAcentral
AUUGAACGCUGGCGGCAUGCUUUACACAUGCAAGUCGAACGGCAGCGGGGGCUUCGGUCCGCCGGCGAGUGGCGAACGGGUGAGUAAUGCAUCGGAACGUGCCCAGUCGUGGGGGAUAACACAUCGAAAGAUGUGCUAAUACCGCAUACGUCCUGAGGGAGAAAGUGGGGGAUCUUCGGACCUCACGCUAUCAGAUGAGCCUAGGUCGGAUUAGCUAGUUGGUGAGGUAAAGGCUCACCAAGGCGACGAUCCGUAACUGGUCUGAGAGGAUGAUCAGUCACACUGGAACUGAGACACGGUCCAGACUCCUACGGGAGGCAGCAGUGGGGAAUAUUGGACAAUGGGCGAAAGCCUGAUCCAGCCAUGCCGCGUGAGUGAAGAAGGCCUC